Molecule: non-coding RNA, 157 nt
Filed under: Polaromonas sp.
Lineage: Bacteria; Pseudomonadati; Pseudomonadota; Betaproteobacteria; Burkholderiales; Comamonadaceae
Description: FMN sequence
Rfam family: FMN riboswitch aptamer (RFN element)
About the family: The RFN element is a highly conserved domain that is found frequently in the 5'-untranslated regions of prokaryotic mRNAs that encode for flavin mononucleotide (FMN) biosynthesis and transport proteins.
Source: RNAcentral
CAGCGUUCUCAGGGCGGGGUGAAAUUCCCCACCGGCGGUGUUUGCAGGCAACUGCAUCAGCCCGCGAGCGCCCGCGCCUCUUCACCGAGGCGCGGGGUCAGCAGAUUUGGUUCAACUCCAAAGCCGACGGUCACAGUCCGGAUGAAAGAGAGCGCGA